AUUUAACUCUUUCUUCAUUCCUAACACAUGCAAGUCUAGCGAUCGGCGGACGGGUUAUUAAUUUAUUUUGACUGCCCGAUAGAGGGGGAUCACUACUGGAAACGCUAGCUAAUACCGCAUACUAUCGGAUAACCCAUAUGGGAUUAGCUAGUAGGUGAGGUAAUGGCUCACCUAGGCGACGAUCCCUAGCUGGUCUGAGAGGAUGAUCAGGCACACUGGGACUGAGACACGGCCCAGACUCCUACGGAGGCAGCAGUGGGGAAUAUUGCACAAUGGGCGCAAGCCUGAUGCAGCUAUGCCGCGUGUGUGAAGAAGGCCUUAGGGUUGUAAAGUACUUUCAGUCGGGAGGCGUUACCGACAGAAGAAGCACCGGCUAACUCCGUGCCAGCAGCCGCGGUAAUUC
RNAcentral lists this ribosomal RNA (403 nucleotides) under uncultured bacterium. RNAcentral describes it as "partial 16S ribosomal RNA". It matches the Rfam family "Bacterial small subunit ribosomal RNA", at positions 32 to 526 of the family's 1533-position model. The record is from RNAcentral.